This 703-nucleotide ribosomal RNA is filed under the name uncultured bacterium. Its description in RNAcentral is "bacterial SSU rRNA". It matches the Rfam family "Bacterial small subunit ribosomal RNA", at positions 771 to 1501 of the family's 1533-position model. The record is from RNAcentral.
AACAGGAUUAGAUACCCUGGUAGUCCACGCCGUAAACUAUGGAUGCUAGCUGUGUGGCGUAUCGACCCGCUGCGUAGCGAAGCUAACGCAUUAAGCAUCCCGCCUGUGGAGUACGAGCGCAAGCUUAAAACAUAAAGGAAUUGACGGGGACCCGCACAAGCGGUGGAGCGUGUUGUUUAAUUCGAUGAUAAGCGAAGAACCUUACCCAGGUUUGACAUCCUACUAAUCUUUCCGAAAGGAAGGAGUGCCUUCGGGCCGUAGUGACAGGUGAUGCAUGGCCGUCGUCAGCUCGUGUCGUGAGAUGUUUGGUUAAGUCCAUCAACGAGCGCAACCCUUAUAGUUAGUUGGAUUUUUCUAGCUAGACUGCCCUGGUAACAGGGAGGAAGGAGGGGAUGAUGUCAGGUCAGUAUUUCCCUUACAUCUGGGGCUACAAACACGCUACAAUGGCCGGUACAAAGGGCAGCCAACCCGCGAGGGGGAGCAAAUCCCAUCAAAGCCGGUCUCAGUUCGGAUAGCAGGCUGAAACUCGCCUGCUUGAAGCUGGAAUCGCUAGUAACGGUAGGUCAGCACACUACCGUGAAUACGUUCCCGGGUCUUGUACACACCGCCCGUCAAACCAUGAAAGUCACCAAUACCUGACGUCUGGACUUGUUCUGGCCUAAGGUAGGGGGGAUGAUUGGGGUUAAGUCGUAACAAGGUAACC